GGAGUGAAUAUGUUUAUUUGUGUUUAAAUUAGUAUUAUCAGAUAUACAACUGAAUGAUAAAAAGAAAAAAAAAAAAAAAAGAAAGAAAGAAAGAAAGAAAACUCCUACUAGCAGAGGAAGUAAUAUUGUUUGAAUCCCUUAACAAACUGUCAGUAUGAAAGCAGCAAGACUACAGAAUACAGCUGAUGGUUAGAUGGUUAAGCUCACAACACCAGAAACACUUGAAUGAGAAAGAAUGGAACACCAUUAGAUGAUAAUGGGUCAAGCUAUGAAGUGACCACCUGACCGAUGCACAAGAGAAAUGGAGAGCAGCAAGCUUGCAUGAGAUAAGCCCCAUCAAGAAUGAAUCACAUAUACAAAGCCAGCAUGUACAUUAAGUUCAUGCUGACAAGCUGCAGCUGGUUUCAGGGACACCAGUCGAUGAAGUCUACCAGGAUGUGGUCAACAAGCUACAUACAGUAUGACUUUCCCCACAGGCCUUUGCAGAAAACCCACAGCUUCUUUGGAGUGUUGCUAUUUAGCCUGGAGAAAAGAUAACGUAGGAAGAACUAAACCCUCUGUGCAGGUUUUGGAGAAGAUGGAGCCAAACUCUUCACAGCAGGUCAAGAAGAACAGGAGGCACAUAGAUAUAUUGAAAUGCAACCUCCAUCACUACAGGUUUCCAUUAUACCCCCCUGGACAAAUCUCUGACCUGGACUGAAUUCAGUGGCUAGGCUUUGAACAGAAUGCUGCCCUAGAGUCCUCCUAAGAUUGCUUCAAACCAGAAUUAUUCAACUGAGUUAUUCAAUCAUUUUAAGAUUCUGUGACUGAAUUUUAAAUUCUCUCCCUGUACAAAGAUAUAACUAUCUGGAUGCACUGACUUGUCAUAAGAUGUUGAUCUGGAGAAUGAUCAUUAGCAGCUAAUACCAAAAUGUCAUUGAUGAUGCUGUAAUAAAGUUUUGAGUCUGAAAGUGUUCCCUUAGUUG
This 965-nucleotide long non-coding RNA is filed under the name Coturnix japonica (Japanese quail). RNAcentral's name for it is "lncRNA (ENSCJPG00005002537.1)". The record is from RNAcentral. Lineage: Eukaryota; Metazoa; Chordata; Aves; Galliformes; Phasianidae.